Molecule: transfer RNA, 67 nt
Filed under: Kamimuria wangi
Lineage: Eukaryota; Metazoa; Arthropoda; Insecta; Plecoptera; Perlidae
Also listed under: 1 other name
Description: tRNA-Gly
Source: RNAcentral
ACUUAUUUAAUAUAAUUAGUAUCCUUGACUUCCAAUCAAAAAGUCUGAAUAUAAUUCAGAAUAAGUA